This 380-nucleotide ribosomal RNA is filed under the name uncultured eukaryote. Its description in RNAcentral is "partial 18S ribosomal RNA". It matches the Rfam family "Eukaryotic small subunit ribosomal RNA", at positions 592 to 976 of the family's 1831-position model. The record is from RNAcentral.
CAAUAGCGUAUAUUAAAGUUGUUGCGGUUAAAAAGCUCGUAGUUGGAUUUCUGUUGGGAACGACCGGUCCGCCCAUUGGGUGUGUAUCUGGCUUGUUCUCGGCAUCUUCUUGGUGAACGUUGCUGCACUUGACUGUGUGGAGCGCUACCCAGGACUUUUACUUUGAGGAAAUUAGAGUGUUUCAAGCAGGCAUAUGCCUUGAAUACAUUAGCAUGGAAUAAUAAGAUAGGACCUCGGUUCUAUUUUGUUGGUUUCUAGAGCUGAGGUAAUGAUUAAUAGGGAUAGUUGGGGGCAUUCGUAUUUAACUGUCAGAGGUGAAAUUCCUGGAUUUGUUAAAGACGGACUACUGCGAAAGCAUUUGCCAAGGAUGUUUUCAUUGA